GGUCUCUGCAUCUGUUUCUCUGAUGACAGCUAUGCUAAGCUCCUGCCUGGGUCCCUGGUGCUGGAGUGACCUCCAAGAAAGCAGCCAGAGUUGUGGACCAGAAUAUGGAGCCCAGGGGAUGGGGUUAUCGAGAAACAACAAAUAUUCCUGGCUACUCCUCAACUCACUGAGUGGAGAGGCAUUCUCCACUUCGGAGUAUGAAGAAGCUGUGGAUAAAAUUUCAGAAAUUUGUUCAUUCAAAAGAUAAAGGCUGAAAGAAAGGAAAUAAAAGGAAAAUGACAGAAAUGAAGAAAGGGAAUUCAUAGGAAAUCACCUUUUCAUAAUGCACUUCACGCUAGCAAAGAUAGUUGACUCUAAUGAACACAGUAAGGUAGCCAUGCUGUCUAGUUCCUUAACCCAGGCUUGAUUCAUCUGAGAGGAGGGAACUCCAAUUGAGAAAAUUCCACCACAAGAUUGGGCUGAAGGCAAGCUUGUAGGCAUUUUCUUACUUAGUGAUUGAUGGGGGAGGGCCCAGUCCAUUGUUGGU
Molecule: long non-coding RNA, 526 nt
Filed under: Rattus norvegicus (Norway rat)
Lineage: Eukaryota; Metazoa; Chordata; Mammalia; Rodentia; Muridae
Description: long non-coding RNA NONRATT032923
Source: RNAcentral